RNAcentral lists this ribosomal RNA (433 nucleotides) under uncultured bacterium. RNAcentral's name for it is "partial 16S ribosomal RNA". It matches the Rfam family "Bacterial small subunit ribosomal RNA", at positions 29 to 507 of the family's 1533-position model. The record is from RNAcentral.
AACGAACGCUGGCGGCAUGCCUAACACAUGCAAGUCGAACGAGACCUUCGGGUCUAGUGGCGCACGGGUGCGUAACGCGUGGGAACCUGCCCUUAGGUUCGGAAUAACUCCCCGAAAGGGGUGCUAAUACCGGAUAAUGACUUCGGACCAAAGAUUUAUCGCCUUUGGAUGGGCCCGCGUUGGAUUAGCUAGUUGGUAGGGUAAAAGCCUACCAAGGCGACGAUCCAUAGCUGGUCUGAGAGGAUGAUCAGCCACACUGGAACUGAGACACGGCCCAGACUCCUACGGGAGGCAGCAGUGGGGAAUAUUGGACAAUGGGCGAAAGCCUGAUCCAGCAAUGCCGCGUGAGUGAUGAAGGCCUUAGGGUUGUAAAGCUCUUUUACCCGGGAUGAUAAUGACAGUACCGGGAGAAUAAGCUCCGGCUAACUCCGUG